This 484-nucleotide ribosomal RNA is filed under the name uncultured bacterium. RNAcentral's name for it is "partial 16S ribosomal RNA". It matches the Rfam family "Bacterial small subunit ribosomal RNA", at positions 30 to 507 of the family's 1533-position model. The record is from RNAcentral.
AUUGAACGCUGGCGGCAGGCCUAACACAUGCAAGUCGAGCGGAUGAAGGGAGCUUGCUCCUGGAUUCAGCGGCGGACGGGUGAGUAAUGCCUAGGAAUCUGCCUGGUAGUGGGGGAUAACGUCCGGAAACGGGCGCUAAUACCGCAUACGUCCUGAGGGAGAAAGUGGGGGAUCUUCGGACCUCACGCUAUCAGAUGAGCCUAGGUCGGAUUAGCUAGUUGGUGGGAUAAAGGCCUACCAAGGCGACGAUCCGUAACUGGUCUGAGAGGAUGAUCAGUCACACUGGAACUGAGACACGGUCCAGACUCCUACGGGAGGCAGCAGUGGGGAAUAUUGGACAAAGGGCGAAAGCCUGAUCCAGCCAUGCCGCGUGUGUGAAGAAGGUCUUCGGAUUGUAAAGCACUUUAAGUUGGGAGGAAGGGCAGUAAGUUAAUACCUUGCUGUUUUGACGUUACCAACAGAAUAAGCACCGGCUAACUUCGUG